CCUAAGGUAGCGAAAUUCCUUGUCAGGUAAGUUCUGACCCGCACGAAAGGUGUAAUGAUUUGAGCACUGUCUCGACAACACGCCCGGUGAAAUUGAAGAACCAGUGAAGAUACUGGUUACCCGCAACAGGACGGAAAGACCCCAUGGAGCUUUACUGCAGCUUAAUAUUGGGAUUCGGUAUUGUAUGUACAGGAUAGGAGGGAGACUAAGAAGCUUGCACGCCAGUGUAGGUGGAGUCGAUGUUGGGAUACCUCUCUUAUGAUACUGGAUUUCUAACCUACCGCCAUGAACUGGUGGAGGGACAUUGUUAGGCGGGCAGUUUGACUGGGGCGGUCGCCUCCGAAAGAGUAACGGAGGCGCUCAAAGGUCUUCUCAGAAUGAUUGGAAACCAUUCAAAGAGUGUAAAGGCAGAAGAAGGCUUGACUGCGAGAGCGACGGUUCGAGCAGGUACGAAAGUAGGACUUAGUGAUCCGGUGGUAACACGUGGGAGUGCCAUCGCUUAACGGAUAAAAGCUACCCUGGGGAUAACAGGCUUAUCUCCCCCAAGAGUUCACAUCGACGGGGAGGUUUGGCACCUCGAUGUCGGCUCAUCGCAUCCUGGGGCUGAAGUAGGUCCCAAGGGUUGGGCUGUUCGCCCAUUAAAGCGGUACGCGAGCUGGGUUCAGAACGUCGUGAGACAGUUCGGUCCCUAUCCGUUGUGGGCGUAGGAAAUUUGAGAGGAGCUGUCCUUAGUACGAGAGGACCGGGAUGGACGAACCUCUGGUGUAUCUGUUGGUAACCAAUGCCAUGGCAGAGUAGCCAAGUUUGGAAGGGAUAAACGCUGAAGGCAUCUAAGCGUGAAGCCUCCCUCAAGACAAGAUUUCCCAUUCGAAAGAAGUAAGGAUCCUUGAAGACGACAAGGUAGAUAGGCUGGAGAUGUAAGCAUAGUAAUAUGUUAAGUUGACCAGUACUAAUAAUCCGAGGGCUUGUCUAA
Molecule: ribosomal RNA, 973 nt
Filed under: human gut metagenome
Description: bacterial LSU rRNA
Rfam family: Bacterial large subunit ribosomal RNA
Source: RNAcentral